Molecule: ribosomal RNA, 255 nt
Filed under: uncultured bacterium
Lineage: Bacteria
Description: partial 16S ribosomal RNA
Rfam family: Bacterial small subunit ribosomal RNA
Source: RNAcentral
UACGUAGGGGGCAAGCGUUGUCCGGAUUUAUUGGGCGUAAAGAGCGUGUAGGCGGCUGGGUAGGUCCGUUGUGAAAACUCGAGCUCAACCUCGAGACGCCGAUGGAAACCCUCCAGCUAGAGUCCGGAAGAGGAGAGUGGAAAUUCCUGGUGUAGCGGUGAAAUGCGCAGAUAUCAGGAAGAACACCCGUGGCUAAGGCGGGUUGACUGGGCUGACACUGACGCUGACAGCGCGAAAGCUAGGGGAGCGAACGGG